UUAUUAUUGGGCUGAGAAGAAUCCAAUAAGUUAUACGAAGUUGUUAUUCGUCCGGUUACGCCCAUCCUCGUCCCCAGGGCCUCCCGGCCGUGCGCGUCAUUUCUAGGCCCUGGGACACACCGAACCGGAAGUGCAAGAAAACUUGCAGUAGUUUCUAAAGGGCAUGCUCUUGAAUUGGGACGCUUUAGCACCCGUAACAAUUUUCACAGUGAAGUAUUACGAAGAAGCGAAGUAUUUGUGUUGACAUAUGUUGAUAGAAUAAUUUUGCCUAGCGAAAACUCCUCAACUUCUGCGAAAUAGCAGUUCUCUGAAAAGCCAAUCAGAUCUCUUCCUUUAGUCGUCUAAACCAGAGCCUAAUUUUCAACGAGUGACCGAGUGAAAAUGGCUCUGGGGACGAGAAUGGGUAACGCCUUAACCACUCGGCUACCGAGGAUUUGCUUGAAAGUUAUAUACUUGAUGUCAUUUAGCAAGCUGACAAAACGAACAAAUGAACCAAUCAAAUUAACUCACGGAUCGACAGAUAGGCAAAACUCGUUGGCUUCCGUGACAAAUAACCACUGCCAAAGUUCUAUUAUUCAUUUAAACUAGAAAUACGUGCAUGCAGUAACCCCUCGCCAAUAUUGCCAUACAUUAAACAUGAAGUAUUCAGAAAUGACCAGCACUGAACGCAGGCUCGCGCUCAAGUGUUGCCAUGACAACACGAUAUUCUUAAAUUUUUAUUUUCAUAUAUUUUGUACAAAACUGCAAAAUAGUUGAAAGAUU
Paramuricea clavata is the source of this 762-nucleotide non-coding RNA. NCBI's taxonomy places the organism in Eukaryota, Metazoa, Cnidaria, Anthozoa, Malacalcyonacea, Plexauridae. The record is from the annotation of a GenBank genome assembly.